UGUCCCCAUGUCCCCGCUGUCCCCAUGUCCCCGCUGUCCCCCGUGUCCCCGUCCCCGUGCCCCUGUCCCCGUGUCCCCUCCCUGACCCUGCCCCUGUCCCCAGCCUACUCGGCGCACCUGGACGCGGAGCUGGGUCCCCAAAGCUACCUGGGCCCCGAGUUCCCCCCGGCCAUGACCCCCACGUCCCCGCGCCGCUACUCCCCCGGCCCCAAGGACCUGCUGGCCGACGACGACGUCCCCAGGGAGCCGCGGCGCAUCGUCAUCCACCGGGGCUCCACGGGGCUGGGCUUCAACAUCGUGGGGGGCGAGGACGGCGAGGGCAUCUUCAUCUCCUUCAUCCUCGCCGGCGGCCCCGCCGACCUCAGCGGCGAGCUGCGCAAGGGCGACCAGAUCCUCUCCUGAGGCGUGCCCGGCACGGGCCCCCCCCUCCCGGUGUCCCCACGGGUGUCCUGGUGCCGCCCUGCUCCCCGUGGCGCUGUCCCCAGCACUCGCCGCACGGUGACGUGUCCCCAGCGCUCGCCUCCGCUGCCCCCCGUCCCCGUCCCCGAGAGCCACAGGUCCCCACCCCUGUCCCCGUUGCCGUCCCCGUCCCCGUCCCCGUCACCACCUGUCCCCAUCCCCGCUGCCGUCCCCGCUGCCAUCCCCAUCGCUGUCCCCAUAGUGACGUGUCCCUGUCCACAUCCCCGGUGUCACCUCUGUCACUGUCCCCAUAGUGGUGUGUCCCCAUCGCCAUCCCCACGGGGACACGUCCCCAUCCCUGUCCCCAUCCCUGUCCCCAUUGCCAUCCCCACGGUGACAUGUCCCCAUCCCUGUCCCCAUCGCCAUCCCCACGGUGACACGUCCCCAUCCCUGUCCCCAUCAUCACCCCCACGGUGCCAUGUCCCCGUUGCCACCCCCAUAGUGACGUGGCCCCCAUUGCCAUCCCCAUCCCUGUCCCCAAGGUGGCGUCCCCAUCCCCAUUCACUGUCCCCACGGUGCCACGUUCCUGUCCCCAUCACCAUCCCCAUGGUGCCACGUCCCCAUCCCUGUCCCCGUCCCCGUGGUGACGUCCCCAUCCCUGUCCCUGUCCCCAUGGGGACACAUCUCCAUCCUCGUCCCCAUCCCUGUCCCCACAGUGGCAUGUCCCCAUCCCUGUCCCCAUCCCUGUCCCCAUUGCCAUCCCCAUGAUGACACAUCCCCAUCGCUGUCCCCAUCCCCAUGGUGCCAUGUCCCCAUCCCUGUCCCCAUCGCCAUCCCCAUGGUGCC
Molecule: long non-coding RNA, 1245 nt
Filed under: Anser cygnoides (Swan goose)
Lineage: Eukaryota; Metazoa; Chordata; Aves; Anseriformes; Anatidae
Description: lncRNA (ENSACDG00005007966.1)
Source: RNAcentral